This 401-nucleotide ribosomal RNA is filed under the name uncultured bacterium. RNAcentral describes it as "bacterial SSU rRNA". It matches the Rfam family "Bacterial small subunit ribosomal RNA", at positions 975 to 1375 of the family's 1533-position model. The record is from RNAcentral.
CUGGCCUUGACAUCCAGAGAACUUUCCAGAGAUGGAUUGGUGCCUUCGGGAACUCUGAGACAGGUGCUGCAUGGCCGUCGUCAGCUCGUGUCGUGAGAUGUUGGGUUAAGUCCCGUAACGAGCGCAACCCCUAUCCCUGGUUGCUAGCAGGUAAUGCUGAGAACUCCAGGGAGACUGCCGGUGACAAACCGGAGGAAGGUGGGGAUGACGUCAGGUCAUCAUGGCCCGUACGGCCAGGGCUACACACGUGCUACAAUGGCGCGUACAGAGGGCUGCCAACUCGCGAGAGUGAGCCAAUCCCUUAAAACGCGUCGUAGUCCGGAUCGGAGUCUGCAACUCGACUCCGUGAAGUCGGAAUCGCUAGUAAUCGCGAAUCAGAAUGUCGCGGUGAAUACGUUCCC